UCCUACGGGAGGCAGCAGUAGGGAAUUUUCGGCAAUGGGGGGAACCCUGACCGAGCAACGCCGCGUGGGUGAAGAAGGUCUUCGGAUCGUAAAACCCUGUUGUUAGAGAAGAAAGUGCGUGAGAGUAACUGUUCACGUUUCGAUGGUAUCUAACCAGAAAGCCACGGCUAACUACGUGCCAGCAGCCGCGGUAAUACGUAGGUGGCAAGCGUUAUCCGGAUUUAUUGGGCGUAAAGGGAACGCAGGCGGUCUUUUAAGUCUGAUGUGAAAGCCUUCGGCUUAACCGGAGUAGUGCAUUGGACACU
This 305-nucleotide ribosomal RNA is filed under the name uncultured bacterium. RNAcentral describes it as "bacterial SSU rRNA". It matches the Rfam family "Bacterial small subunit ribosomal RNA", at positions 337 to 634 of the family's 1533-position model. The record is from RNAcentral.